GAUGAACGCUGGCGGCGUGCCUAAUACAUGCAAGUCGAGCGAACAGACGAGGAGCUUGCUCCUCUGACGUUAGCGGCGGACGGGUGAGUAACACGUGGAUAACCUACCUAUAAGACUGGGAUAACUUCGGGAAACCGGAGCUAAUACCGGAUAAUAUAUUGAACCGCAUGGUUCAAUAGUGAAAGACGGUUUGGCUGUUACUUAUAGAUGAAUCCGCGCUGCAUUAGCUAGUUGGUAAGGUAACGGCUUACCAAGGCAACGAUGCGUAGCCGACCGGAGGGGGUGAUCGGCCACACUGGAACUGAGACACGGUCCAGACUCCUACGGGAGGCAGCAGUAGGGAAUCUUCCACAAUGGGCGAAAGCCUGACGGAGCAACACCGCGUGAGUGAUGAAGGUCUUCGGAUCGUAAAACUCUGUUAUUAGGGAAGAACAAAUGUGUAAGUAACUAUGCACGUCUUGACGGUACCUAAUCAAAAAGCCACGGCUAACUACGUG
This 497-nucleotide ribosomal RNA is filed under the name uncultured bacterium. RNAcentral describes it as "partial 16S ribosomal RNA". It matches the Rfam family "Bacterial small subunit ribosomal RNA", at positions 28 to 507 of the family's 1533-position model. The record is from RNAcentral.